This 253-nucleotide ribosomal RNA is filed under the name uncultured bacterium. Its description in RNAcentral is "partial 16S ribosomal RNA". It matches the Rfam family "Bacterial small subunit ribosomal RNA", at positions 524 to 776 of the family's 1533-position model. The record is from RNAcentral.
UACAGAGGUCUCAAGCGUUGUUCGGAUUCAUUGGGCGUAAAGGGUGCGUAGGCGGCGCGGUAAGUCGGGUGUGAAAUCUCGGAGCUUAACUCCGAAACUGCAUUCGAUACUGCCGUGCUUGAGGACUGGAGAGGAGACUGGAAUUUACGGUGUAGCGGUGAAAUGCGUAGAUAUCGUAAGGAAGACCAGUGGCGAAGGCGGCUCUCUGGACAGUUCCUGACACUGAGGCACGAAAGCGUGGGGAGCAAACAGG